Scomber scombrus (Atlantic mackerel) is the source of this 147-nucleotide long non-coding RNA. RefSeq lists it as uncharacterized. The record is from RefSeq and is a predicted model, not a curated record. NCBI's taxonomy places the organism in Eukaryota, Metazoa, Chordata, Actinopteri, Scombriformes, Scombridae. The transcript has 3 exons.
CAUACAGCGAGCAACGCUGUAACACAAGCAGACAACGCCUGACGGGAGCCAGUUUGCAUUCUUCUCACUGCGAAGCAGAUCUGUGUACAUUAGAAAUGAGGAAUCAUCUGAUUGAGUGGCCAGAGAGCAACGCACUCCCAUCCUCGC